This 331-nucleotide ribosomal RNA is filed under the name uncultured Streptococcus sp. RNAcentral describes it as "bacterial SSU rRNA". It matches the Rfam family "Bacterial small subunit ribosomal RNA", at positions 1049 to 1382 of the family's 1533-position model. Lineage: Bacteria; Bacillati; Bacillota; Bacilli; Lactobacillales; Streptococcaceae. The record is from RNAcentral.
UUGUCGUCAGCUCGUGUCGUGAGAUGUUGGUUAAGUCCCGCAACGAGCGCAACCCCUAUUGUUAGUUGCCAUCAUUCAGUUGGGCACUCUAGCGAGACUGCCGGUAAUAAACCGGAGGAAGGUGGGGAUGACGUCAAAUCAUCAUGCCCCUUAUGACCUGGGCUACACACGUGCUACAAUGGUUGGUACAACGAGUUGCGAGUCGGUGACGGCGAGCUAAUCUCUUAAAGCCAAUCUCAGUUCGGAUUGUAGGCUGCAACUCGCCUACAUGAAGUCGGAAUCGCUAGUAAUCGCGAAUCAGCACGCCGCGGUGAAUACGUUCCCGGGCCUU